Molecule: ribosomal RNA, 253 nt
Filed under: uncultured bacterium
Lineage: Bacteria
Description: partial 16S ribosomal RNA
Rfam family: Bacterial small subunit ribosomal RNA
Source: RNAcentral
UACAGAGGUGGCAAGCGUUGUUCGGAAUUACUGGGCGUAAAGGGCGCGUAGGCGGCCAUCUAAGUCAGACGUGAAAUCCCCCGGCUUAACCUGGGAACUGCGUCUGAUACUGGAGGGCUUGAGUGUGGGAGAGGGAUGCGGAAUUCCAGGUGUAGCGGUGAAAUGCGUAGAUAUCUGGAGGAACACCGGUGGCGAAGGCGGCAUCCUGGACCAUGACUGACGCUGAGGAGCGAAAGCCAGGGGAGCAAACGGG